Molecule: long non-coding RNA, 2205 nt
Organism: Neogale vison (American mink)
Lineage: Eukaryota; Metazoa; Chordata; Mammalia; Carnivora; Mustelidae
Exons: 3
Source: RefSeq, a predicted model, not a curated record
UUCGUAGAAGUGGUUUUUUUGUGCUGUUUAGAAUUUCAACCAUUUACCAUUACUGACUGUAAUUUCCCUUUAGAGGAAAAAAUCAUGGAAAGUUUUUCUAUAUGAAAGAAAAAAAUGUAAAGCAGAUGGGGAACAUUUGACUGUGGUUUCUUAUGCACAACAACCAGAGACUGCGUCUACAAAUGAAGUUCAACCACUGUCUGUUUGGAUAACUAGAAGUUUGCUAGCAUAAAUUCAGGUGAUCUAAAACAAUUUGAACUAUACUACGUGAAUACAAAUCGGAAGCAGGUCCAUCAUAGGGUAGAGGUCAGGAAGCUCAAGUGCUCUUGUGUAUGAGAUUCAUGGUUCUGUGUACUUAAUGGUCACUAAUACAGACCUUUCACUCUUAUGUGCAGUGUUGAAGAGGGAAACCACUCAUCAGUUCUUUUGCACUAUAUUUUGAAGUUCUAGUGAUUCUGUUCAGGGGAGGUGAACCCAGCUCCAGAUCUAAGAGAGGAUAUUGAACACCUUUCCUGUGUUACAGGAAGGGCAGGACAUUUGCAACCUUGGAGGCAAUUGGGUAGGGAGCUGUGACCAAAUAUCAUACAGGCAAAGGAUAGAUACUCAGAUUCCUGGAUGGGUAUUCCACACCAGACGCUUAUCCAGACUCCUCACUUCAAUCCCCUAGUCUCUCUCCAAGGUGCUACUUCUCAGCCACGUAGGUCUGCAUGAAUAGAAAUAAAUUUGGGACCACUAAGAGUUGUAGUAUUGUCAUGUGGAAUCACUGGAAUGCAUGAAUGCAGUUACCCUUAUGUUAUCACUUGUGCUUUCUGCUUCAUGAUGUACUUUCUUGAAUGGAGGAAGAGGGUGGUGGAGUAUUAUGACGGCUAAUUCUUUGAAAUGGUGUGAACCCAUAGCCUCUGCUCUCAAUGUCACCCCUGUAGACUGAUUUGGGGAGAGGUGAGAAGAAAAGAUUUGGAGUGGGUGUUUGGCUACCACUUGAGAUCACCCCCUUAUUAUUUGUAAUAGCCUGUGGAGUUGGGGUGGAUGUUGAGGGCAGGAGAAUCCAACUCCUGGAAGGUUAAGUGACCUAAUUUUCUCUUAAAGUUUAUACCAUUGUCUUUUUUUUACCCCUUCAUUCUAUUUACCUGCAUGAUAGAGAUCAGAGAGGGAAAACAUGAUAGAGAAGAAAUUUUCAGAAAGUUCAUAAGGAUUUAUGUCUUGCAGUUUGAUGCAUAUGUGUAUUAAGCAGUUUUGAGACGUUUUCCUAACUUGUGCAUGGCUAGCCAAGGAUCUGCUCGAAUAUAAAUAGCAUCACACGCUGGGAGAUUGUACUCGAUCUAAUAUUUACCCAUCUUGCACGAAGAAGUGGGACAAGGUCACUGGGAAACGUAACCUAAGAAGUGGCCAUUUCAACAGGGGUCAUUAAACUCUGUUCUAAAAUACUGCUGUCACUGGGAGUAUCCAGAUACGAAGAGCUGUGCCAGUUGGAAAAAGGUGGUAGAAUUCAUUCUGUUUCCUGUUGGGGAGAUGGCGAGGUAGCUGCACUGUGAAGGGGGCAUCCACUAACAGUUAAAUGCAGCUGUAGUCCCCUUGAGCACUGGGUGUUUGUGAAAUCAAGGACUCAGCCUUGCAGUGUCCAGGUCCAUCCAGUCUGUCAAUGGGACUUAAAUAUAUUCACUGUUCAGAUAGACCCAUUUUAUCCCUGUGCCUUCUUUCAGACUCCAUUCCUCCUGCUACUUUGAAUCUGAGAUCCAUGGAUCCAUCAAAGCCACCUUUCCAAAGUAUUUCCAGGGAAACAGUACUUUCCAGAGGGGAUUUCCCAGACAAAUAAACUUGAGGCAUGACAUACUGGAUACUCUUAUCCUGGAAAUCCAUAAUGCAUAAUGUUAUGGGUUGAAUUAUGUUCCCCCCUAAAUGAUAUGUUAGAAUCUUAAUUUCCUGUCACUCAGAAUGUGAUUUUAUUUGGAGAUAAGGCCUUUUGAGAGGUAAUCAAGUUAAAAUGAGGUCAUUUGCGUGGGCACUAACCCAGUAUGUCUGAUGUCCUUACCAAAAGGGGAAAGUUGGACACAGACAUAAACAUGAACAGAGGGAAGACCACGUGAAGAGACAGGGAGAAGAUGGCUAUCUACCAUCCAAGGAAAGAGGCCUGGAUUCUUCCCUCACAGUUCUCAGAAGGAAGCAACCCCAGUGAUAACUUCAUCAGGAUCUUCUAGCCUCCAGAAC